CGUGAGGAACCUGCCUUGGAGAGGGGAAUAACACUCCGAAAGGAGUGCUAAUACCGCAUGAUGCAGUUAGGUCGCAUGGCUCUGACUGCCAAAGAUUUGUCGCUCUGAGAUGGCCUCGCGUCUGAUUAGCUAGUAGGCGGGGUAACGGCCCACCUAGGCGACGAUCAGUAGCCGGACUGAGAGGUUGACCGGCCACAUUGGGACUGAGACACGGCCCAG
This 219-nucleotide ribosomal RNA is filed under the name uncultured bacterium. RNAcentral describes it as "partial 16S ribosomal RNA". It matches the Rfam family "Bacterial small subunit ribosomal RNA", at positions 116 to 334 of the family's 1533-position model. The record is from RNAcentral.